CAUUGCCAGUUUCAGCCCUGGGAGGUUCUGAGUGGUAGGGAAAGGCACGUGAAGGGGAGCAGCUAGUCGGAUGGGUGCUUCCUGAGGCAGUGUGAGGCCAGACCUCGCAGCACAGGGAACGGCAAGCUGAAAAUGCCAAGUUAGGGAAGUUUGUCACAUUUCACCAUAAUUCUUAAGUUUUUAAGUAAAAAUUAAUUACCAAAAAGUCAUACCAUUUUUAUAAUAUUACAGUUUCAAAAAUUGGCCAAUUAUAGAUUCAGACCAUUAUGAUGGUGUUACUAUCACCCGGAAGCCAUUGGUGAGUGAAAUAACUUCCUGAAUGACCCUAUCUGUCUUGACAGUGCGGCCCUAUUAUUAAAUCCCUCCCUGGGCGGGGCAGGGCUCGGUGGCAGAGGCUUGCCUAGCUGGUGUGAGGCCCUGGGUUCUGGGUUCCAUCCUCAGCACCACACGAUCAGUCAGUCAGUCAAUCAGUAAAAAUUAUUGUGUCUAUCUACAACUAAAAAACAAAGGUUUCUAAACAGUGACAAAGAUUGGAAUGUGAAGGAAUUGCUGUUUAAUUGUAAAGUUCUAAUGUUCAGAAAUGACAGUUGCCACUGCUCAUCAUGGUGGUUGCAUCUGGUGUUGUAUCUCUGUGAAGGCUAAGACCGGUUGUUCAAGUUGGUGUGACUUGAUUUUAAUAGUUUGAACCAUCUUCACAACAUUUAUUUUCCUUCCAGAAUUGCUUUGUCAGAUUUUUUUUUUUCCCCAUGUAAUAAUGGAAUCUAGUGUGUGGCUUCCUGAAAAAUAUCUGACACUGCUCAAAACUGUCAAGAUCAUAAAAACAAAACAGUGCUGGACAUGGUGGCUACACCUGUCAUCCCAGCGACCUGGGAGGCUGAAGCAGGAGGAUCACAAGUUCAAAGCCAGCCUCAGCAGCUUAGUGAAACCCUGUCUCAAAAUAAAGAAUAUUUUAAAAGGGCUGUGGAUGUGGCUCAGUGGUAAAGCAUCCAUGGGUUCAAUGCCCAGUACCAAGAAAAAAAAAUUGUUCAUGCCAAGCAGAGCUCACAGGAGACAGGACAACUGAAUAUAACAUGUCCUGGAUGGGUCACAGAGCAGAGAAAGAAAAGAUGUUAAGAAACACUAGAGAAAUCAGAGUGAUUUGGACUCAAUAUGGACUUGAGCUAAUACUUACAUAUCAAUACUGGCUCAUUAAUCGUGACAAAUGUGCCAGAGUAAUGUAAGAUGUUAAUAGUAAGGGAAGAUAGACGUGGGGUGCCGUGGUGUGAUUGUGUCCCCCCAGAAUCAAGUGCUGGAACUCAUCUCGGGGGCAGCAGUGUUGGAAUGGGGCUGGUGGGGGUAUUUAGGUCCCCAUAGCUCCCGCCUCCUGAAGGCCCUAAGCAGGAUCCUCCCUUCCACUCUUCUGCUGUGUGAGGCCCCGUCCUCCAAGGCCGCUCCUGAUCCUGGACUUCCCAGCCUCCAGAGCUGUGAGAAGUAAAUUCUCUUCUUUGAAUCACUAGUGUGUGGUAUUCUGUUACAGCUGCAGGAAAUGGACCAAGACUUGAGGCACGUGGGAUUUGGGGGGAUAUUUUCACACUUUUUCUGCAAGUGUAAAAUCAUCAUGUAUUUUAAAAAUAUGUUGGUGUGUUCAAACAACUAAUACCACUCAAUGCACGGAGGCUAAUAUACCAAGUAAUAGAAACUGGUUUUCCAAGAGUGCCCAGCUGAGGAGGGGAAGCCUGUGGGCUCAGACUGAGGUGCUGCUGCCAAGAGCGCCUCGGAGCCACUGCCUUGCUGGGGAGUGCGGUGCAUUCUCAGGGCUGAAAAUGCCCAGGAUGCGGACACGCCCCCUUGCUGCCGCUCCACUUGUCCUUGUGCAAAAUCAAUGCUGUUUCAGUGGAGACUUAUUCACAUUUUGGAUUCCCUCUUUUCCUGGGCUGCUAGGGUACCAUCAGGGUGAGGUGGCUUUCUGCAGCCAGCAGUCAUGUGGGUGGACCCUAUGCUCUGCAGGGAACGGCAAGCUGAAAAUGCCAAGAUAGGGAACUUUGUCACCACACGCUGUGUUGCCAGCGUGUGUGCGUGCAGGUAUUUGAUGGGCCACAUAGGGUGUUCAACACUUCAUCACAACAUGGGCUUCGAGCAGGACACACACCUGCAGCUCCUCAGGCUGAGGCAGGAGAUCAUAAGGUGAAGAUCAGCCUCAGCAACUUGAUGAAAUCCUAUCUCAAAAAAUAAAAGGCUGUGGGAUGUGGCUCAGUGAUAAAGUACACUUGGGUUCAUUCUCUAGUACCCAGAACAAUAAAGUGAAAUAUUUUGUUAGAUUAUUUUGCCCCACUGUAGGCAAAUGCUUGUGUUUCAAGCGUGUUCAAGGUGGGCUAGGCUAGGCUAGGUGUGUUAAUGCACUUUCCAUUUACAAUGAGCUCGUCAGGAUGUAAGCCCUGUAAGUUGAGGAUGAGUAUAAAAAGAACUAGCCUCACCCCCAAGUGUACAUAGUCACCUCCAUCUGGAGCAAAUGACCGGAAAAAAUGUAAAGUUGAUACUAUUAUAUACCACAAUAUGUAACAAAGUCUUUUUUCAGGUGAUUUUAAG
Molecule: long non-coding RNA, 2565 nt
Filed under: Marmota monax (woodchuck)
Lineage: Eukaryota; Metazoa; Chordata; Mammalia; Rodentia; Sciuridae
Source: RNAcentral